AGGGUUUGAUCAUGGCUCAGAACGUACGCUGGCGGCACGCCUAACACAUGCAAGUCGAACGAAGUAGCAAUACUUAGUGGCAGACGGGUGAGUAACAUGUGGGUAUCUGCCCUUUGGCCUGGAAUAACACGAGGAAACUUGUGCUAAUACCAGAUAAGUCUUUACGGAGAAAGCUUUAUGCACCAUUGGAUGAGCCCGCACUUGAUUAGUUUGUUGGUGGGGUAAUGGCCUACCAAGACUAUGAUCAAUAGCUGAUUUGAGAGGAUGAUCAGCCACAUUGGGACUGAGACACGGCCCAAACUCCUACGGGAGGCAGCAGUGGGGAAUCUUGCACAAUGGAGGAAACUCUGAUGCAGCGAUGCCGCGUGAGUGAAGAAGGCCUUUGGGUUGUAAAGCUCUUUCGUCGGGGAAGAAAAUGACUGUACCCGAAUAAGAAGGUCCGGCUAACUUCGUGCCAGCAGCCGCGGUAAUACGAAGGGACCUAGCGUAGUUCGGAAUUACUGGGCUUAAAGAGUUCGUAGGUGGUUGAAAAAGUUGGUGGUGAAAUCCCAGAGCUUAACUCUGGAACUGCCAUCAAAACUUUUCAGCUAGAGUUGAUAGAGGAAAGCAGAAUUUCUAGUGUAGAGGUGAAAUUCGUAGAUAUUAGAAAGAAUACCAAUUGCGAAGGCAGCUUUCUGGAUCAUUACUGACACUGAGGAACGAAAGCAUGGGUAGCGAAGAGGAUUAGAUACCCUCGUAGUCCAUGCCGUAAACGAUGUGUGUUAGACGUUGGAAAUUUAUUUUCAGUGUCGCAGCGAAAGCGAUAAACACACCGCCUGGGGAGUACGACCGCAAGGUUAAAACUCAAAUGAAUUGACGGGGACCCGCACAAGUAGUGGAGCAUGUGGUUUAAUUCGAAGAUACGCGCAGAACCUUACCAACACUUGACAUGUUCGUCGCGACUUUAAGAGAUUAAAGUUUUCGGUUCGGCCGGACGAAACACAGGUGCUGCAUGGCUGUCGUCAGCUCGUGUCGUGAGAUGUUGGGUUAAGUCCCGCAACGAGCGCAACCCUCACUUUUAGUUGCCAUCAUUAAGUUGGGCACUCUGAAAGAACUGCCAGUGAUAAGCUGGAGGAAGGUGGGGAUGACGUCAAGUCCUCAUGGCCCUUACGUGUUGGGCUACACACGUGCUACAAUGGUAUUUACAACAGGAAGCAAAACAGCGAUGUUAAGCAAAUCCUUAAAAAAUACCUCAGUUCGGAUUGCACUCUGCAACUCGAGUGCAUGAAGCUGGAAUUACUAGUAAUCGUGGAUCAGCGUGCCACGGUGAAUGCGUUCCCGGGUCUUGUACACACCGCCCGUCACACCAUGGGAGUUGGUUCUACCUUAAGGCAAGGCAUAAAACCCUUGACCACGGUAUAGUCAGCGACUGGGGUGAAGUCAUAACAAGGUAGCCGUA
Molecule: ribosomal RNA, 1438 nt
Filed under: uncultured bacterium
Lineage: Bacteria
Description: bacterial SSU rRNA
Rfam family: Bacterial small subunit ribosomal RNA
Source: RNAcentral